CAGCCGCCGCGGUAAUACGUAGGUGGCAAGCGUUGUCCGGAAUUACUGGGCGUAAAGGGCUCGCAGGCGGUUUCUUAAGUCUGAUGUGAAAGCCCCCGGCUCAACCGAGGAGGGUCAUUGGAAACUGGGAAACUUGAGUGCAGAAGAGGAGAGUGGAAUUCCACGUGUAGCGGUGAAAUGCGUAGAGAUGUGGAGGAACACCAGUGGCGAAGGCGACUCUCUGGUCUGUAACUGACGCUGAGGAGCGAAAGCGUGGGGAGCGAACAGGAUUAGAUACCCGUGUAGUCCCUGUCUCUUAUAC
Molecule: ribosomal RNA, 301 nt
Filed under: uncultured bacterium
Lineage: Bacteria
Description: partial 16S ribosomal RNA
Rfam family: Bacterial small subunit ribosomal RNA
Source: RNAcentral